Molecule: small RNA, 527 nt
Filed under: Pongo abelii (Sumatran orangutan)
Lineage: Eukaryota; Metazoa; Chordata; Mammalia; Primates; Hominidae
Description: processed transcript
Source: RNAcentral
GCAUUGUUUUGGCCCACUUGGCACCUGCAUAGAGCCAACUCCACGUUCCUGGCCCGGUUUCCCUCCCAGUCUCUUUGUUCUUUUGUAAAGCCGGUGUUCAAGUCUUGUUUGUGGCCUAAACAUCUAAGGUGUUUAGCCUUGUCUGAGGCUGCGGCUGUUUUGACAGUUGGACUUCAUCUGGGGAGCUCCCUGCAAUUCAAGCUUCCAGGGCUAGGCUAGGAAAGGUUUAAAAGGAUCAUCCAGACUUGAAACAUAUCGACCCAGUGGUUUUAAAACAUUGUCAUGCAGCAGCUGCAACUUACAUACUAGAGGCAGGAAAGCACCGAGCUGACAAGUCAACUCUAAGCACUUAUCUAGAAGACUGUAAAUUUGACAGAGAGCGAAUAGAACUGUUUUGCACGGAAUAUCAGAAUAAUAAGAAUUCCCUAGAAAUCCUACUGGGAAGUAUAGGCAGAUCGCUCCCUCAUAUAACGGAUGUUUCUUGGCGCUUGGAAUAUCAGAUAAAGACCAAUCAACUUCAUAGGAUG